GUAUUUGUCAAAAUAGCCAUCAAAUGUCAUAAUAGUUGAAGAUUUUGCAAUUCUUCACACCCGUUGUCAGCUUAGUUAUAGAUACAGCUUCUGUACGCUUUUUAUACCAGCCCAAGCCCCCAGCGGUCACCAAACACUUCGAAGAGCUCCCUGGUUACCUCCUGAGUGCAAUGAGCCGGUGCUCCAUCCAGUUGCAACCAACAUGUGCCGUACUCUUCUAGUUACAGAUUUUCUAAAAAAUUGCUUACCACUGUCCUUAGAAUUUGGAGGUACAUGGAUGAAUUUAACGAUUCUUCAUAAAGGACAUGUCCAGAUGUUCCAGUUCUGGUAGGUUUUGAAAAGCUUCGUAGGAUAUCGUUGCUAGCUUGUUCCCUGCAAUCAGAUUUAAAAAAUAUCUAGUAGAGAUUAUUAAAUAUGUUAAGUGAUA
Molecule: long non-coding RNA, 427 nt
Organism: Dendroctonus ponderosae (mountain pine beetle)
Lineage: Eukaryota; Metazoa; Arthropoda; Insecta; Coleoptera; Curculionidae
Exons: 2
Source: RefSeq, a predicted model, not a curated record